UUACAAAACGAAUAAAAUAGCUUGUGUAUUUUUCAGGAUCCAAUGUUGUUUACCGGUCCACUUCGAAGAAACAUCGAUCCUUUCAAUGAAUAUUCAGAUGAAAUUCUAUGGAAAGCUAUAGAAGAGGUGCAAUUAAAGGAAGUUAUCAGUACGUUGCCUGGAGGAUUGGAUACACAUUUGUCAGAAGGAGGACGAAAUUUCAGCGUAGGAGAAAGACAGUUAAUUUGUCUUGCCAGAACGAUUCUUCGCCAGAAUAAAAUCCUGGUCAUGGAUGAAGCAACAUCAAA
This is a long non-coding RNA of Centruroides sculpturatus (bark scorpion), 287 nucleotides long. RefSeq lists it as uncharacterized. The transcript has 2 exons. The record is from RefSeq and is a predicted model, not a curated record. Lineage: Eukaryota; Metazoa; Arthropoda; Arachnida; Scorpiones; Buthidae.